AAAAUUAUGAAGUUACGGUGGAUGUAGUAUGCUCGAUUUUUAAUAUAAAAAUAAAUAUAAAUAAAAAUAGUGUGAGAUACUAUUUUAUUGGACUUAAGGGUGUAAACUAUAAGUUGGAAACGACCUGUGCUGAAAUCAGAGUGAAAACAGAAGAUUUAGAAUUUUCUGUGAGAGACGGGGCAGACAAAUUAGCAGAAAAUGCACAGUGUCAGAAAAUUAUAAAAACUGGAGGAUAUGUCAGAAUUAUUUUUGUGAGGCUAGAAUUAAAGUUUCACCUCAGUCUGACACCCGGAAGGUGGAAAAUAAAAUCGAACUGCUAUCUACUAGAGAUUACAGUUCGGUAGAGCUUUCAGUGACCAAACGGGGUCGAAACUGAAAGAUUAAAAAUUCUUUCGUUAAGUUAAGUAAAAU
This 411-nucleotide long non-coding RNA is filed under the name Ananas comosus (pineapple). RNAcentral describes it as "long non-coding RNA (ACOM_LNC042394)". Lineage: Eukaryota; Viridiplantae; Streptophyta; Magnoliopsida; Poales; Bromeliaceae. The record is from RNAcentral.